Molecule: ribosomal RNA, 749 nt
Filed under: uncultured Chloroflexota bacterium
Lineage: Bacteria; Bacillati; Chloroflexota
Description: bacterial SSU rRNA
Rfam family: Bacterial small subunit ribosomal RNA
Source: RNAcentral
AGAGUUUGAUCCUGGCUCAGGAUCAACGCUGGCGGCGUGCCUAAUGCAUGCAAGUCGCACGCACGACCUUCGGGUCGCGAGUGGCGAACGGCUGAGGAACACGUACGAACCUGCCCCCCAGUGGGGAAUAACGACACGAAAGUGGCGCUAAUACCGCGUACGCUCGCAAGAGGAAAGCAGCAAUGCGCUGGGGGAGGGGCGUGCGGCCCAUCAGGUUGUUGGCGGGGUAAUGGCCCACCAUGCCGGUGACGGGUCGCUGGUCUGUGAGGAUGACCAGCCAGACUGGGACUGCGACACGGCCCAGACACCUACGGGUGGCAGCAGCAAGGAAUCUUCGGCAAUGGGCGCAAGCCUGACCGAGCAACGCCGCGUGGAGGACGACGGCCUUCGGGUUGUAAACUCCUUUUCUGUGGGAUGAAUACGGACAGUACCGCAGGAAUAAGCCCCGGCUAACUCUGUGCCAGCAGCCGCGGUAAUACAGAGGGGGCAAGCGUUGUCCGGACUUACUGGGCGUACAGCGCGCGCAGGUGGUCGGCUAAGUUCGUGGUGACAGCGUGCGGCUCAACCGCACACGGUCCAUGGAGACUGGUCGACUAGAGGCAUCGAGAGGGAUACGGAAUACCCGGUGGAGCGGUGAAAUGCGUAGAGAUCGGGUGGAACACCAGCGGCGAAGGCGGUAUCCUGGCGAUGACCUGACACUGAGGCGCGACAGCGUGGGGAGCAAACGGGAUUAGAUACCCCCGUAGUCC